UAGUCCACGCCGUAAACGAUGAUAACUAGCUGUCCGGGCUCAUAGAGCUUGGGUGGCGCAGCUAACGCAUUAAGUUAUCCGCCUGGGGAGUACGGCCGCAAGAUUAAAACUCAAAGGAAUUGACGGGGGCUCGCACAAGUGGUGGAGCAUGCGGUUUAAUUCGAUGCUACGCGAAAAACCUUACCAACCCUUGACAUGGUGGUCGCGAGAGAUAGAGAUAACUCUCUUCAGUUAGGCUGGACCACACACAGGUGUUGCAUGGCUGUCGUCAGCUCGUGUCGUGAGAUGUUGGGUUAAGUCCCGCAACGAGCGAAACCCUCAUUCUCAUUUGCCAGCGGUUCGGCCGGGAACUAUGAGGAAACUGCCGGUGAUAAGCCGGAGGAAGGUGGGGAUAAUGUCAAGUCAUCAUGGCCCUUAUGGGUUGGGCUACACGCGUGCUACAAUGGUAUCUACAGAGGGAUGGCAAUAUGGCAACAUGGAGCAAAUCCUCAAGG
Molecule: ribosomal RNA, 494 nt
Filed under: uncultured bacterium
Lineage: Bacteria
Description: bacterial SSU rRNA
Rfam family: Bacterial small subunit ribosomal RNA
Source: RNAcentral